AUUAAAAAUGUUGAUGGAGUAAUCGUUACUGGGAACAGCAUCGGAGAGAUCCACUUCUACGACUGUCAGAUGAAGCUGUUGUACUGGGUGCACGGUUUUACGGUGGACAGCGUCAAAGGGCUUAGUUUCAACAUUUCACCGAGAAGUUAUGAAAUAUUUGACCCAAAAUGUUAGUUUUCAAAAUUUGUCUAUUAUAUUGAGGUUCUGGUAAAUAGCUUA
Molecule: unclassified non-coding RNA, 219 nt
Filed under: Melitaea cinxia (Glanville fritillary)
Lineage: Eukaryota; Metazoa; Arthropoda; Insecta; Lepidoptera; Nymphalidae
Description: misc RNA ENSMCXG00005011583.1
Source: RNAcentral